RNAcentral lists this transfer RNA (65 nucleotides) under Dipodomys ordii (Ord's kangaroo rat). It matches the Rfam family "tRNA". Rfam says of the family: Transfer RNA (tRNA) molecules are approximately 80 nucleotides in length. Their secondary structure includes four short double-helical elements and three loops (D, anti-codon, and T loops). Further hydrogen bonds mediate the characteristic L-shaped molecular structure. tRNAs have two regions of fundamental functional importance: the anti-codon, which is responsible for specific mRNA codon recognition, and the 3' end, to which the tRNAs corresponding amino acid is attached (by aminoacyl-tRNA synthetases). tRNAs cope with the degeneracy of the genetic code in two manners: having more than one tRNA (with a specific anti-codon) for a particular amino acid; and 'wobble' base-pairing, i.e. permitting non-standard base-pairing at the 3rd anti-codon position. Lineage: Eukaryota; Metazoa; Chordata; Mammalia; Rodentia; Heteromyidae. The record is from Rfam by way of RNAcentral.
GGUAGCUCAGUGGUAGAGUGCUUGCCUUGCAUGCAUGAGGACCUGGGUUUGAUUCCUCAGAACCA